Molecule: long non-coding RNA, 3192 nt
Organism: Equus quagga
Lineage: Eukaryota; Metazoa; Chordata; Mammalia; Perissodactyla; Equidae
Exons: 4
Source: RefSeq, a predicted model, not a curated record
AGUCCGCCCGCGCCGCCCCGGGACCGCCCGCCCCGCCCGCCCCGCCCGCCCGCUCCCCGCGCCCGGCGCCGCGGGCCAGCGUUGCCCGCCAGGUGUGGGGCGAGUGUCCCCGCUGCGCUCACUGCGCCCCUGAAUCUCUCCUUCCGGCCCUGCUCCGCUGCCUCCUCCUCCAGGAAGCCUUCCUGGAAGCCGACCAGGCCUGCGGGGAAUCUGACGUUUGCGAGGCCUCCGGCGGGGCAGAGACGGCCCGCCCUCUGGAUUCUGUGAAGAGCGAGCCGGAGAGCAGCCCGGGAGCGCGCGGAGCGCUCCGCCGCCUUCGCGGGUCCCACAGGCGCUCCAUCCAGCCCGCGGGCAGCUGGGAGAGGUCUCCCGUUGACCUCGGAUGAUGUGGUGGCUGUGAGUGGGCCUGAGGACAGAGGCUCCUCUGUGCUGGACAACCUGGCCGUGCCUGGAAAUGAUCCUAAAGUGUCUGCGAAUUGUUGCAGACGAGACAGAGCCCCUCAUCCAGCCUCUCCCUACCCCCGGCCCCAGGCGCCCACUGACCUGCUCCCCAUCCCUCCACUGCUGCCCUUUGCAGAAGGCUGUGUGUGGAGUCGGGAGUUCACAGCCCUCCGCCGGGUGCGUGGAGCUCUAGCCCGCGUGUGGUGGUGCGCAUCAGCGGUGGUUCCUUUACUGAUGAGUAGGAUUCCUUCCUAUGGAGGCUCCACAGUUUGUUUUCAGAGACUGAAUAUGCAGACAAUGGCCAGACCAUACACAAGAAUAGAACUCUGACCCCUGAGCCCUCAUCUGUGGGAACCAGCUCAGGAAGCCAAAUACUAACAGUAACAGUAACAGUAACAGUAAUGGUAACAGUAAUGGUAACAGUAACAGUUGGCCCAGAGCGGCUGGGAUUUGAUCCAUUGCAGCAGCUUCCCUGACUUUUGUCCCCGCUUCCAACCAAGGACCAGCCAGAGAAAGCCAAGUGUGCCCCCAGCCAGUCAUGCGGGAUGCCCACUUCCAGUCAGUGCCCCCAGCUCCCCAGGCCCACGGCCCCAUCAGGACACACCCGGAACCUUCCUCUUCCACCAUGAAGCUCCCGGUUCUCCUCUGCCUGCCUUCGGGUCUCUGCCCAAAUCAAUUUCCAUCGUAAUUAAGAAUUGCGUCUCCUUUGCGUUGGCAGUUCAGGACUCCAGUCUUGAGGACGUGGACCCUAACCACACAGUCAGUAAGUGCAUCUACGGAAUUUUCCUUUUCAUAAAAAUUUCACAAACAGACACGAUAAUGACUGCUAAACACGAGUCAUGCACAGUUUACUGAUAACAGAAGCAAUUUACAAUCAGGGGACAUGGCACACACGUCAGCCUCCUUCCUGAUGGUUUCUUUAAACGUUAUAUGAAAACCAGACAUUUACUCUUCAUUUCUUCUUCAACACUCUACAGUUUCAAAAGAAAAAAACAAAAAACAAACUAAACCAAAUCUGAAAUGUAACAACGGCCAGAGGAUGGCGCGGCUGCACAGGUCGGGGUGCCUGCACGCGUAUAUACCUGUGUGUGCUUUCAGCGACGUGUUCUGACAUGGGGCUCAGCUUCCCUCGUCUUGAAGAGAACAGUGACGAUGCAAAACGCACGGAGAGAAACCUCUAGAAUUACUUUGUUCACAAGUGAAUUGCACAUUUGGAAAUUCAAGCUGCCUUUUCAUUAUAUUUUCUUUCAUUUUUUUUUCCAAAAGUGGUAAUUUGAAUCAGUGACAGAAAAGAAUAAAACAAAAAAACUGGAAUGGAGGAGAAAAGGAACGCUCCUUGGAAUAUCACAAGAAUGUCUUAGUCACAGUAUCGCUCAUUGCUACAGAGACACAGUUUCAUGGCUUUGAUACCCGGCUGACCUCCACUGACCAGGAGCAGCUGUGUCCUCACGUCCCCAGCCGGGAGGGGAGCGAGGUGCCGGGCUCCCCGUCUGUCCCCGGGCAGCAGUGCAGGGGCGCGCUCUCCCGGCCUGGCGCUGCCCCUCGCCCCUCCCCCAGGACAGCACAGUGAAUACAGCUCAGUAGAUUUCAGUCAUGUGGGUGGGGAGAAGGGGGACGGGGGCAGGGGGGUCCACAAUCCAGUGCUUCGAGGCUUCGAGGCUAACACGGGUGAUAUGUAUUCGGGCGAGUGCUUUGCGAAUGCUCACUGAGGAAGCAGCUAGGACAGAGCAGGCCAAGGGUCCUCAGAGUUUCCAGGGCCAAGCUCUGGGGCCACAGAGGGGCUGGGCCAGUCAUGGUCUGGACUGACCAGCUGCACUCUUGGCCUUGUACAAGAGGGCCACGUGGGCUGGGUGGUCUCUCAGGUCGAUCCACACCCCAGGGUCCCAGGCAGGCUGCAGGAAUGCGAGUCCCCGUGUUCCCAUUGGGGAGCUCUGAGUCCCACUCAUGAAAGGUCUGGCUGGCCAAAGGAUCAGCACCCCUGUGUGUCCUACCCGAUCGUCCUGGGAAUGAGAGCACAGUAGGGGAGGGCCACUGGAGACUGGGGGCUGAGGGUGGCAGAGGGAAGAGCCAGGGGGCCUCCUUCUGAAUUUCCAUUUGGGGCUGAGUGUCAAUGGUCCAAAAAAGGGAGGCAGUUAAGGCUGGACUGAAGGACCCUGGCCCUGGGCAAAGCUGGCCCAGUAGGACCUGGGUUUACAGCCUCGACCCUAGCCACGUGCCCAUGGACACGGUGGUCAGCCAGCCAGCUGCCCUGUUGCAUCCGUGCUCCGAGGCUGGGAUCUCGGAAUUCUCAUGCCCAUCCCAGGCUCCUUGGCCCCCAGGGGGUCUCUGAGCACGUGGUGGCAUCUGCAUCAAGGAUGCUGGACCUGUGUGAGCUGGGAGCUGCCCCCCAGGUGCUGGAGCCCGGGGCAGAGAGGAAGCAGGGAGGGCAGCUUGCUGUGGUCUGGGGCAAUGACAAGCUUUGAGGCCAAGUUUCAUGGAUGCACCAGGCACAGGAAAUAAGUGCUCUCUUUGUCAGGGGGUCCAAGGGCAGACCCCCCUCCCCCAGACUUGGCAAGAGCUCCGGCCCGCGGGGCUGAACAUUCAGGAGAAAUUGGGCUUGCUCUAGUCAUUUUCUGGGGGACAAAAAUAUAGGACUAAAAUGUGCAACUGAGGCUCAUAGGGGACGAGGGGAAAAGAAGGAAUGAGAAGAGAGAACGCUUGGGAAGACUGGCCGAAAACGACGGGACGUGGCAGUCAACAGAGAAAUCCAGG